UUCAGUCAGACCUUUUGUUUUUUCUUUUGUGAAAUCCUUUACCAACGCCCUUGAACUGUGGAAUCUCGUUACAUUUGGGCCCUUCAAUUUUUUUAUUUUAGUAUUAAGCCCCUUAAAUUUGCACUUUCUUUUUAUCAGUUCGAACUAUUCUGGUUCAUGGCUAGGAAACUGUUUUGUUUUGUUUUUCUCUUGGUGGCAACCCCUUCGCAAUUGAG
RNAcentral lists this long non-coding RNA (215 nucleotides) under Malus domestica (apple). RNAcentral's name for it is "long non-coding RNA (MDOM_LNC000986)". Lineage: Eukaryota; Viridiplantae; Streptophyta; Magnoliopsida; Rosales; Rosaceae. The record is from RNAcentral.